GGCAAGGUGGCCGAGUGGUUAAGGCGCUGUGUUUAGGAAUCAAGUGCUAAGCACAGAUAUAUCCAUCCGCAGUGGGAAACCUCGCGAGUUCGAAUCUCGUCCUUGUCA
Molecule: non-coding RNA, 108 nt
Organism: Diplogelasinospora grovesii
Lineage: Eukaryota; Fungi; Ascomycota; Sordariomycetes; Sordariales; Diplogelasinosporaceae
Source: the annotation of a GenBank genome assembly